ACGGGGUGCAGCAGGCGCGAAACCUCUACAAUGCGCGAAAGCGUGAUAGGGGGACUCCAAGUGACAUCAUUCGAUGUCUUUUCUCUACCUCAAAAACGUAGGGGAAUAAGAGCUGGGUAAGACCCGUGCCAGCCGCCGCGGUAAUACGGGCAGCUCUAGUGGCAUUCACGAAUAUUGGGCCUAAAGCGUACGUAGCCGGUCCUACAAGUUCCUUGUGAAAUCCUAUGGCUUAACCAUGGGAAGUGCAAGGAAAACUGUGGGACUUGGAGCCGGGAAGGGUCGGAGGUAUUCCUUGGGUAGGGGUGAAAUCCAGUGAUCCUUGGAAGACCAACGGUGGCGAAGGCGUCCGACUAGAACGGGCUCGACGGUGAGGUACGAAAGCUAGGGGAGCGACCCGGAUUAGAUACCCGGUUAGUCCUAGCCGUAAAUGAUGCAGGUUUGGUGUAACAAUCCUUACGUGGGAUUGUUGUGCCGUAGGGAAGCCGUUAAACCUGCCGCCUGGGAGUACGUCGCAAGAC
This 518-nucleotide ribosomal RNA is filed under the name uncultured archaeon. RNAcentral describes it as "bacterial SSU rRNA". It matches the Rfam family "Archaeal small subunit ribosomal RNA", at positions 325 to 849 of the family's 1478-position model. The record is from RNAcentral.